RNAcentral lists this ribosomal RNA (459 nucleotides) under uncultured bacterium. RNAcentral describes it as "bacterial SSU rRNA". It matches the Rfam family "Bacterial small subunit ribosomal RNA", at positions 923 to 1379 of the family's 1533-position model. The record is from RNAcentral.
GCACAAGCGGUGGAGCAUGUGGUUUAAUUCGAUGAUACGCGAGGAACCUUACCUGGGCUAGAAUGCUAGUGGACCGGCUGUGAAAGCAGUCUUCCCCGCAAGGGGCCGCUAGUAAGGUGCUGCAUGGCUGUCCUCAGCUCGUGCCGUGAGGUGUUGGGUUAAGUCCCGCAACGAGCGCAACCCCCAUCAGUAGUUGCCAUCAGGUAACGCUGGGAACUCUACUGAAACUGCCGUCGUAAGACGCGAGGAAGGAGGGGAUGAUGUCAAGUCAUCAUGGCCUUUAUGCCCAGGGCUACACACGUGCUACAAUGGGGCGUACAAAGGGCUGCCACUUAGCGAUAAGGAGCCAAUCCCAAAAAACGCCUCUCAGUUCAGAUUGGAGUCUGCAACUCGACUCCAUGAAGCUGGAAUCGCUAGUAAUCGUAUAUCAGCAAUGAUACGGUGAAUACGUUCCCGGGC